Molecule: transfer RNA, 87 nt
Filed under: Candidatus Moraniibacteriota bacterium
Lineage: Bacteria; Candidatus Moraniibacteriota
Description: tRNA-Ser
Rfam family: tRNA
About the family: Transfer RNA (tRNA) molecules are approximately 80 nucleotides in length. Their secondary structure includes four short double-helical elements and three loops (D, anti-codon, and T loops). Further hydrogen bonds mediate the characteristic L-shaped molecular structure. tRNAs have two regions of fundamental functional importance: the anti-codon, which is responsible for specific mRNA codon recognition, and the 3' end, to which the tRNAs corresponding amino acid is attached (by aminoacyl-tRNA synthetases). tRNAs cope with the degeneracy of the genetic code in two manners: having more than one tRNA (with a specific anti-codon) for a particular amino acid; and 'wobble' base-pairing, i.e. permitting non-standard base-pairing at the 3rd anti-codon position.
Source: RNAcentral
GGAAGGAUGGCCGAGUGGUCGAAGGCGCUUGCUUGGAGUGCAAGUGUGCUGGAAACAGUACCGUGGGUUCGAAUCCCACUCCUUCCG